CUAACUCGCUUAUUCAAAAUGUUUAAUUUAUUUUUCAAGGAUGUUUCAUAUGG
RNAcentral lists this non-coding RNA (53 nucleotides) under Plasmodium falciparum 3D7. The record is from RNAcentral. Lineage: Eukaryota; Apicomplexa; Aconoidasida; Haemosporida; Plasmodiidae.